This is a long non-coding RNA of Vulpes vulpes (red fox), 2185 nucleotides long. NCBI's taxonomy places the organism in Eukaryota, Metazoa, Chordata, Mammalia, Carnivora, Canidae. The record is from Ensembl.
AUCAGCUCUGUUUUUAAAAGGUCUGUAUUUUGUUAUUGUAAUACAUUCCUAUUUCCCUCUUUUUCAAAAAUGAGAAAUACCUAGUGAAUUUUAUCAAAUGCUGUUUCAGCAUUUGCUGAAAUCAUUGUAUUUUUCAUUGUUUAAUCCAGUGAUGUAGGUGGAUUACUGUUAAUACUUGCCUCUGUGUCAAGCAUUUCUAUCGUUCUUGGGAUAAAGGCUCUUCGGUCAUGGUGUAGUGUUUCCCAUAAUAUCCUAGUGAAUACCAUUUUAUAUACACACACACACACACACACACACACAUAUUUUUAAAAUUGAAUUUAUUUAAACAAAAACAGUUUACCCCUUUUCCCUACCUUCUCUCCCUGCUUCUGGCAACCACUGAUCUCUUCUCUGUAUCUGCGAGUUUGAUUAUUGAUUGAUUCUACGUAUAAGAGAGAUCAUAUGGUAUUUGUCUUUCUCUGUCUGAUGUAUUUCACUGACCAUAAUGCCCUUGAUAAGAUGUCUUGUAUAUUUUUAUGUAAGAUUUGUGGAUGGCUUGUAUCUAUCGGGGAGUGUUUCUUAUAGCAGUGCUUCUGAAACUUUUUCUUAUUAUUUUGCACCUUAGGGAGAACUCUUAAGCAUUUUUUUUCCCUUAACUGUGCCUCCAUGUAAUUUCAAUUGCACAUAUAAGCUAUAUAUCAGUACAUAUAUAUGUUAUAUGUAUAUCUGCACUUUCUACAUUAAAGAGAGGACUUUUUUUAGCCCCCUCCAGAACCAAAUUGCUCCGUUGGAAUGCAUGGGGAUAUCACUGCCCUUAGAACACAUGGCCACUCAAGUCUAUUCUUUAUUCCUGCAUUAUGUUUAUUAGAUUUCAGGAUUAAGCCAUAUGGAGGUUUACGUCUUGGUGCGACCUAUGCAAAAGGCCAUAUUUUUCAAGGUUCAGAAAUGAGAUAUAGCAGAGACACUUUAAGGCCAAUACAUUUUAGUAAAGACCAAGUCUGUUUUUCAGCUCCUCCCUGACCAUCCUAUAAAAACAGACCAAGAAUUACAUUUGAUCUUUGUCAUCACUAACAAAAUCAGCCUCAGAGCUUUCCAAUUCCAGUUUAAUCCAUCUCUAGAGAGCUCUCACCAAGCAAGACUUCAUCAGGUGUAGCCCAUGAUCCCUUUCUUCACAGCAUCAAUCAUAGACAGGCCCUUUAGUGUAUGACUCAGAAUAUCUAUAAUGGUUUUGCAAGGGCAGGUUAUAAGACAGGAGAGGAGACCAAAGGGCAAGGGCCUACAAAGUCGCUAGAGCCCCGAAGCUGAAGGUAUUGCACAUACGGCCUUAGCGGGAGAGCAUGACAGCCAGGGACAGCAAGAUUCCAUUGAGACAGCUCCUUGUCAAACCAAGAAAGUAAAGCCAAGGAUUGGGAGCAUAGUAGCUGGGUUUAAAUUGAGGGAGAAGAAGUGGAGGGCAGAGGUUGGAGUUGCAAGCUGAGCUGUAGAUUGGUAUAUAACAAUGGAUAUUAAGGCACAUAAGGAUGAGAGUUGGAGGCUUUGUUCUUAAAGGUUUAUUUUGCCCGCCACAUGUGCCUCUUUUGGAUCUUCAGUCUUGGAGACGGAACUCCUGUUUGCCACUUUUCAAGGUAGGUAAUGAACCUUUGAAAAUUUGGGAGGGUUUAGGAUGCACCCAUAUUGUGGUGGAUGCACCUAAGGUGACUUCCAAUGAGUAAUGUUCCUGUAUAAUCAAUCCCCUCCUAUCAAAUGCCAGUGGAACCCGUGAUUCUUCUUCUAACUAACAUACCAUCGCUAAGGUGAUGAGAUGUCAGUAUUUGGUUUCAUUCAUUACGUAAGACUGUCUAAGUAGACUGGAAAGAUUCUGUUGUUGGCCUUGAAGAAGCAAAUUGCCAUGCUGUGAGCUACCUAUGGGAGAGCCACAUGGGAAGGAACUGCAGGUGGCCUUAGGACCUGAGGAUAGCCCACAGUCCGUAAGAAGCAGGGCCCUCAGUCAUACAGCUACUGGGAAAUGAAUUCUACCAACAACCAGUGAGCUUGGAAGUAGAUUUUUCCUCAGUCAAGCCUUGAGAUGAGAACAUGGUACAGCCAACACCUUGAGUGUCACCACCUGUGAAACUCUGAGCCAUGGGCCAUAUGGCCCAACUAAGCUGUACCCAGACUCCUGAGUCAGGGAAACUAUAAGAUAAUAAAUUUGGAUUGUUUUAAGCCA